Molecule: long non-coding RNA, 750 nt
Organism: Ictalurus punctatus (channel catfish)
Lineage: Eukaryota; Metazoa; Chordata; Actinopteri; Siluriformes; Ictaluridae
Source: Ensembl
AGGUGAGGAGUGUGUGAGACAGGUGAGGAGUGUGUGAGACAGGUGAGGUGUGUGUGAGACAGGUGAGGUGUGUGAGAGACAGGUGAGGUGUGUGUGAGACAGGUACAGGGUGAGACAGGUGAGGUGUGUGUGAGACAGGUGAGGUGUGUGUGAGACAGGUACAGGGUGAGACAGGUGAGGUGUGUGUGAGACAGGUGAGGUGUGUGUGAGACAGGUACAGGGUGAGACAGGUGAGGUGUGUGUGAGACAGGUGAGGUGUGUGUGAGACAGGUACAGGGUGAGACAGGUGAGGUGUGUGUGAGACAGGUGAGGAGUGUGUGAGACAGGUACAGGGUGAGACAGGUGAGGAGUGUGUGAGACAGGUGAGGUGUGUGAGACAGGUACAGGGUGAUACAGGUGAGGAGUGUGUGAGACAGGUACAGGGUGAGACAGGUGAGGAGUGUGUGAGACAGGUGAGAAGUGUGUGAGACAGGUACAGGGUGAGACAGGUACAGGGUGAGACAGGUGAGGUGUGUGUGAGACAGGUGAGGAGUGUGUGAGACAGGUACAGGGUGAGACAGGUGAGGAGUGUGUGAGACAGGUGAGGAGUGUGUGAGACAGGUGAGGAGUGUGUGAGACGGGUGAGGUGUGUGUGAGACAGGUGAGGUGUGUGUGAGACAGGUGAGGAGUGUGUGAGACAGGUGAGGAGUGUGUGAGACAGGUGAGGAAUGUGUGAGACAGGUGAGGUGUGUGUGAGACAGGUACAGGGUG